UGCUUAAAGGGGCCGUAGCUGGCUGAGUUAGUCCCUGUUAAAUCCAAUGAAUUAAUUGUUGGUGUGCGGGGGAUACUGCUUGGCUAGGGGGCGGGAGAGGCAGACGGUAUUUUCGGGGUAGGGGUGAAAUCCUAUAAUCCCGGGAAGACCACCAGUGGCGAAGGCUGUCUGCUAGAACGCGCCCGACGGUGAGGGAUGAAAGCUGGGGGAGCGAACCGGAUUAGAUACCCGGGUAGUCCCAGCUGUAAACUAUGCAGGCUAGGUGUUUGGGCGGCCACGUGCCGCUCUAGUGCCGCAGGGAAGCUGUUAAGCCUGCCGCCUGGGGAGUACGGUCGCAAGAUUGAAACUUAAAGGAAUUGGCGGGGGAGCACCACAAGGGGUGAAGCUUGCGGUUUAAUUGGAGUCAACGCCGGAAAUCUCACCGGGGGCGACAGCAGGUUGAAGGCCAGAUUAAAGGUCUUGCCAGACGAGCUGAGAGGAGGUGCAUGGCCGUCGCCAGUUCGUGCCGUGAGGUGUCCUGUUAAGUCAGGCAACGAUCGAGACCCGCGUCCUCUGUUGCUACUGGUUUUGUGCCAGGCACACUGAGGAGACCGCCGCUGAUAAAGCGGAGGAAGGAGCGGGCCACGGCAGGUCAGUAUGCCCCGAAUCUCCCGGGCCACACGCGAGCUGCAAUGGCAGGUACAGUGAGUUCCGACCUCGAAAGGGGGAGGUAAUCUCGAAAGCCUGCCGUAGUUGGGAUCGAGGGUUGAAACUCACCCUCGUGAACAUGGAAUCCCUAGUAAUCGCGUGUCACUAGCGCGCGGUGAAUACGUCCCUGCUCCUUGUACCCACCGCCCGU
RNAcentral lists this ribosomal RNA (838 nucleotides) under uncultured archaeon. RNAcentral describes it as "bacterial SSU rRNA". It matches the Rfam family "Archaeal small subunit ribosomal RNA", at positions 507 to 1353 of the family's 1478-position model. The record is from RNAcentral.